CAGGGCGAGCAGUGAUCCCCUUCUCUCCCGCCCUGGGGAAGCUGUGACCAGAAUCCCCGGGAUGUGUGCGCCCGCGUCAGGGACCGACCACUCACCUGGAGCAGAGUUGUUAACUCCGAUGUUGAACAAGGAGGAGACAGCCAAAGUCCAGGUUGUUCCGGAGCAAGAAAGAGUCUGUGUCUGGAACGCAGGGGAAUCCGGGGCUGUUUGCACCCCAGACCCCCAAAGCACAACAGCGUAAAGCGGACGGCUCAGCACACACCGCUCUCUUCUCUAACCUCCUAAUCAAGGUCGCCAAGGAUAUCUUAUUAAAGCAACAGCGAUGAAAUGGGAAUAAUCCCUUUGGUCAUUGUCCACUCUCACCCUGGAGACUGCCUCAAGAUCUGACUCCACUUAUGGAGUCUUCCUCACUACACUCUAUGCUUCAUAUAAUCUCAUUUAACACAGAUCACAUGGACCAGUGAGCUAAGAAAAAAUCAGCACAAGAUCCAGACCUGCAGCUGUUCCUGUAAGAGAGGAGUCAAGUUUCAAACAGUUACAAAGUCGAAGUACAAAUAAACAGAAAGGAGUGAGUCUCCCAAGGAGAAAGUUAAAAUUAACCAUGUGCAUCCUUUGAUGCUAAGGUUUGAUGCUAAGCCAUCAAUCUCUAG
Mus pahari (shrew mouse) is the source of this 650-nucleotide long non-coding RNA. RefSeq lists it as uncharacterized. NCBI's taxonomy places the organism in Eukaryota, Metazoa, Chordata, Mammalia, Rodentia, Muridae. The record is from RefSeq and is a predicted model, not a curated record. The transcript has 3 exons.